GAGUGGCUCUAUAUUUCUGAUUGGCCUUCUUGUGACUCCUGGUGGAAACUUAAAGUUGGAAACAUCUGUUGUAUAUGCCAUAGAACGUUUCUGGUUUCUGCUGAUGAACCUAAGGUUUAGGUAAAUAUCCUGAAAUUAUUUUCACCUGGAAAACGACUUUAAAGUUAACAUAACUUUUCCAUAAUAUUGAUUUCUCAGAGGUGUCUCUGUUUCUCAAUAACAGCAUUAAAAACACUUGUAGAAUUUGUAACUUGUGUAUAAAAGUUUGAUAAUGUUUCUUCUGGAUAAAUAUUAGGAGUAGCCAAUACUGAUUUGGUUUUCUGUUGAA
This is a non-coding RNA of Jatropha curcas, 328 nucleotides long. Lineage: Eukaryota; Viridiplantae; Streptophyta; Magnoliopsida; Malpighiales; Euphorbiaceae. The record is from RefSeq and is a predicted model, not a curated record.